Molecule: transfer RNA, 85 nt
Filed under: Tritonibacter multivorans
Lineage: Bacteria; Pseudomonadati; Pseudomonadota; Alphaproteobacteria; Rhodobacterales; Paracoccaceae
Description: Epibacterium multivorans tRNA-Ser
Source: RNAcentral
GAAUUCGUCGUCCGAGGAGCCGGGACCGAAACGCUUCAGGUGCGCUUCGCCACCCGCCUGCAGUUCGGUUUCUUCGACGUAUUCA